This 468-nucleotide ribosomal RNA is filed under the name uncultured bacterium. RNAcentral describes it as "partial 16S ribosomal RNA". It matches the Rfam family "Bacterial small subunit ribosomal RNA", at positions 28 to 507 of the family's 1533-position model. The record is from RNAcentral.
GACGAACGCUGGCGGCGUGCUUAACACAUGCAAGUCGAACGGAAAGGCCCUGCUCUUGCGGCGUGCUCGUGUGGCGAACGGGUGAGUAACACGUGUGGAUCCUGCCCUUAUCUUUGUGGUAAAUUUACGAAACUGGGGCUCUUAUCGGAUAGGAGCUCCUGCUGCACAGUGGUGGUUGGUAAGUUUCGGCGGUUGGGGAUGGUCUCGCGGGUUAUCAGCUGGUUGGUGGGGUAGUGGCUUACCAGGGGUUUGAAGGGUAGCCGGCCUGAGAGGGUUACCGGCCACAUUGGGACUGAGAUACGGACCAGACUCCUACGGGAGGCAGCAGUGGAGAAUAUUGCGCAGUGGGCGGGAGCCUGAGGCAGCAACGCCGCGAGCGGGAUAACGGCUUUCGGGUUGUAAACCGCUUUCGCAUGAGCCGAAGCGUGAGUGACGGUAAUGGGUCAAGAAGCCCCGGCUAACUACGUG